AAUGCAAGUUUGGAUACGCACCCUAACGGUGCCGGGGCUU
This 40-nucleotide transfer RNA is filed under the name Gehyra pilbara. RNAcentral's name for it is "partial tRNA-Cys". The record is from RNAcentral. Lineage: Eukaryota; Metazoa; Chordata; Lepidosauria; Squamata; Gekkonidae.